Long non-coding RNA from Homo sapiens (human), 596 nucleotides. Ensembl annotates it as MIR924 host gene. Its record names the gene MIR924HG. The record is from Ensembl. Lineage: Eukaryota; Metazoa; Chordata; Mammalia; Primates; Hominidae.
AGGAGGCAUAUGGAGGUAAUGGUUAACUUUGCUACAGUGAAGACCAAGGUAAAUUGGGUGCACUGAAGAGAAAAACCUGACCACUUCUGCAGCUGUGCAUCUGGAGUCUGAAGAAUUCCAAAUGUGCUACCAUCCAUGUAGUUUUACUUGAAAAACCCCCUUGGAAAUUAACAAUAAGGCACUGACUGGAGCUGAAUUUGCAAAUGUUUUAGGAAGAAACUUUAUCUCAGACUACCCUUGAUGUAUCAAAAUAUUUAAAGCAAUUGGCAAAGGCAGUGAGCAAUUCACUCUCAGGCACAUGAAUAUCACCGGGAGAGGGCUGAAUGUUCAGAUAUGCAAGAGGGAAAGCUAAAGCACACAAGUCCUUUUAGACCCAGGCUCAGAAGUGAUACACCGUCUCUUUCAACUCAUUCUAUUGGCCAAAUAAUCAGACCAUAUGAUGUCCUGAAAAUUCUUCCACAAUAUUUAACCAACACUUUCCAGAAAAACUUCAUUUAUCUCCAUGUACCAAUAUUUUGGGGUCCAGCCCAAUUCCUGUCCCUUCAGUGAAGCCUUAUUUAAUUUUACCAAUAAAUAAUAGCUCUCUUUUUUGAAUA